UACGUAGGGUGCGAGCGUUAAUCGGAAUUACUGGGCGUAAAGCGUGCGCAGGCGGUUUCGUAAGCUGGAGGUGAAAUCCCCGGGCUUAACCUGGGAAUUGCGCUUGAAACUAGCGGGCUUGAGUGUGGCAGAGGGGGGUAGAAUUCCACGUGUAGCAGUGAAAUGCGUAGAGAUGUGGAGGAACACCGAUGGCGAAGGCAGCCCCCUGGGUCAACACUGACGCUCAUGCACGAAAGCGUGGGGAGCAAACAGG
RNAcentral lists this ribosomal RNA (253 nucleotides) under uncultured prokaryote. RNAcentral's name for it is "partial 16S ribosomal RNA". It matches the Rfam family "Bacterial small subunit ribosomal RNA", at positions 524 to 776 of the family's 1533-position model. The record is from RNAcentral.